GACGAACCGAGCGAACGUUGUUCGGAAUAACUGGGCUUAAAGGGCGCGUAGGCGGGCCGCCAAGUUCGAGGUGAAAUCCUCCGGCUCAACCGGAGAACUGCCUCGAAUACUGGAGGCCUCGAGGCGGGUAGGGGCAUGCGGAACUGCGGGUGGAGCGGUGAAAUGCGUUGAUAUCCACAGGAACUCCGGUGGCGAAGGCGGCAUGCUGGACCCGAUCUGACGCUGAGGCGCGAAAGCCAGGGGAGCAAACGGG
This 253-nucleotide ribosomal RNA is filed under the name uncultured bacterium. RNAcentral describes it as "partial 16S ribosomal RNA". It matches the Rfam family "Bacterial small subunit ribosomal RNA", at positions 524 to 776 of the family's 1533-position model. The record is from RNAcentral.